GAUGAACGCUGGCGGCGUGCCUAAUACAUGCAAGUCGAGCGAACAGACGAGGAGCUUGCUCCUCUGACGUUAGCGGCGGACGGGUGAGUAACACGUGGAUAACCUACCUAUAAGACUGGGAUAACUUCGGGAAACCGGAGCUAAUACCGGAUAAUAUAUUGAACCGCAUGGUUCAAUAGUGAAAUACGGUUUUGCUGUCACUUAUAGAUGGAUCCGCGCCGCAUUAGCUAGUUGGUAAGGUAACGGCUUACCAAGGCAACGAUGCGUAGCCGACCUGAGAGGGUGAUCGGCCACACUGGAACUGAGACACGGACCAGACUCCUACGGGAGGCAGCAGUAGGGAAUCUUCCGCAAUGGGCGAAAGCUUGACGGAGCAACGCCGCGUGAGUGAUGAAGGUCUUCGGAUCGUAAAACUCUGUUAUUAGGGAAGAACAAAUGUGUAAGUAACUAUGCACGUCUUGACGGUACCUAAUCAGAAAGCCACGGCUAACUACGUG
Molecule: ribosomal RNA, 497 nt
Filed under: uncultured bacterium
Lineage: Bacteria
Description: partial 16S ribosomal RNA
Rfam family: Bacterial small subunit ribosomal RNA
Source: RNAcentral